This 117-nucleotide ribosomal RNA is filed under the name Clostridium sp. OF09-36. Its description in RNAcentral is "partial 16S ribosomal RNA". It matches the Rfam family "Bacterial small subunit ribosomal RNA", at positions 1424 to 1533 of the family's 1533-position model. Lineage: Bacteria; Bacillati; Bacillota; Clostridia; Eubacteriales; Clostridiaceae. The record is from RNAcentral.
AAGUCAGUGACCCAACCGCAAGGAGGGAGCUGCCGAAGGCGGGAUUGAUAACUGGGGUGAAGUCGUAACAAGGUAGCCGUAUCGGAAGGUGCGGCUGGAUCACCUCCUUCUAAGGAA